This 450-nucleotide ribosomal RNA is filed under the name uncultured bacterium. RNAcentral describes it as "partial 16S ribosomal RNA". It matches the Rfam family "Bacterial small subunit ribosomal RNA", at positions 354 to 796 of the family's 1533-position model. The record is from RNAcentral.
GUGGGGAAUAUUGGACAAUGGGCGCAAGCCUGAUCCAGCCAUGCCGCGUGUGUGAAGAAGGCCUUCGGGUUGUAAAGCACUUUUGUUGGGAAAGAAAUCCUGUCGGCUAAUACCCGGCGGGGAUGACGGUACCCAAAGAAUAAGCACCGGCUAACUUCGUGCCAGCGGCCGCGGUAAUACGAAGGGUGCAAGCGUUACUCGGAAUUACUGGGCGUAAAGCGUGCGCAGGUGGUUCGUUAAGUCAGAUGUGAAAGCCCCGGGCUCAACCUGGGAAUUGCAUUUGAUACUGGCGGACUAGAGUGCGGUAGAGGAGAGUGGAAUUCCCUGUGUAGCAGUGAAAUGCGUAGAGAUCGGGAGGAACAUCAGUUGCGAAGGAGGCUCUCUGGACCAGCACUGACACUGAGGCACGAAAGCGUGGGGAGCAAACAGGAUUAGAAACCCUUGUAGUCC